UUAAACGACGCCGGUAAACAAACUUCAGUUAGAUUUCAGAGCGAGAAGAAAAUGAUCCUCGCGGUGCUGUUUGCGAACGCGGAGGGCAAUAUCCUCAUCGAACGUUUUCAUGGAGUUCCUGCGGAGGAGCGUCUACACUGGCGUUCUUUCUUGGUCAAACUAGGAGCUGACAAUCUUAAGGGUAUAAAAAAUGAAGAACUUCUAGUUGCUUGCCACAAGUCAGUUUAUAUUGUAUACACAAUACUUGGAGAUGUCAGUAUAUACGUCGUGGGGAAGGACGAGUACGAUGAACUUGCUUUGUCGGAGGUGAUCUUUACAAUAACCUCAGCUGUAAAGGAUGUAUGUGGGAAGCCCCCAACUGAGCGCCGUUUCCUUGAUAAGUAUGGAAGAAUUUGCUUGUGUUUGGAUGAAAUUGUAUGGAAGGUGAGAAAAAUUGGUGGACAAUGUUUAGUAAAAGAUCACAGCUAACUUCUGAAAAUGCUCUCGGUUUACUUGUUCAUUCUACUUACCUUAGACACAGUGGAUAUUUGGAAAAUACGGAAAAAGAUAGAAUCAAGAGAUUGAUAAGGUUGAAGCCUCCUACUGAGUUCUGAAUGAGAAAUUCUGAGGCAGUCAUUAUAGAAUCAGUGGUUUGAGUUGUGUGUUGAGCAUCUUGUGCUUAGAAUGGCAUGUAACAGAAGCCAGGCAAAAACCUCUAGGUAUGAUAUUCUAUUAUCUAAUAUGGUGCAGGUGAGGAUUUUGCUCAGCCCAUAAAUACUUGUACUAUCAUCAAUAUUCUUGAUUAAACAUUUUGUUAUGUUGUAACAUCUAUAUUGUUGAUUUCAUUCUACCUUUACCUUGUGCAAUGUGUAUUUUUUUCAUUCUUUCU
RNA transcript from Vicia villosa (hairy vetch), 868 nucleotides. RefSeq lists it as uncharacterized. Lineage: Eukaryota; Viridiplantae; Streptophyta; Magnoliopsida; Fabales; Fabaceae. The record is from RefSeq and is a predicted model, not a curated record. The transcript is spliced from 5 exons.